CAGGAUGUGAANUCCCCGGGCUCAACCUGGGAACUGCGUUNUGAACUGGGUGACUAGAGUGUGUCAGAGGGAGGUAGAAUUCCACGUGUAGCAGUGAAAUGCGUAGAGAUGUGGAGGAAUACCGAUGGCGAAGGCAGCCUCCUGGGAUAACACUGACGUUCAUGCUCGAAAGCGUGGGUAGCAAACAGGAUUAGAUACCCUGGUAGUNCACGCCCUAAACGAUGUCAAUUAGCUGUUGGGCAACUUGAUUGUUCAGUAGCGUAGCUAACGCGUGAAAUUGACCGCCUGGGGAGUACGGUCGCAAGAUUAAAACUCAAAGGAAUUGACGGGGACCCGCACAAGCGGUGGAUGAUGUGGAUUAAUUCGAUGCAACGCGAAGAACCUUACCUGGUCUUGACAUGUACGGAAUCCUCCAGAGACGGAGGAGUGCCUUCGGGAACCGUAACACAGGUGCUGCAUGGCUGUCGUCAGCUCGUGUCGUGAGAUGUUGGGUUAAGUCCCGCAACGAGCGCAACCCUUGUCAUUAGUUGCCAUCAUUUAGUUGGGCACUCUAAUGAGACUGCCGGUGACAAGCCGGAGGAAGGUGGGGAUGACGUCAAGUCCUCAUGGCCCUUAUGACCAGGGCUUCACACGUCAUACAAUGGUCGGUACAGAGGGUAGCC
RNAcentral lists this ribosomal RNA (662 nucleotides) under uncultured bacterium. RNAcentral describes it as "bacterial SSU rRNA". It matches the Rfam family "Bacterial small subunit ribosomal RNA", at positions 588 to 1251 of the family's 1533-position model. The record is from RNAcentral.